Molecule: non-coding RNA, 107 nt
Organism: Gossypium arboreum
Lineage: Eukaryota; Viridiplantae; Streptophyta; Magnoliopsida; Malvales; Malvaceae
Source: Rfam
AUCCUGUGGUGGGGGAAUUUACGAAGUAACUCCUUGAAUCUUUCCAAUGCCUUGUAAAGGGAUUCAUCAUCCAUCUUUUGGAAAGUGGUAAUCUCAUUCCACAAUUU